RNAcentral lists this ribosomal RNA (439 nucleotides) under uncultured bacterium. RNAcentral describes it as "partial 16S ribosomal RNA". It matches the Rfam family "Bacterial small subunit ribosomal RNA", at positions 339 to 795 of the family's 1533-position model. The record is from RNAcentral.
CUACGGGCUGCUGCAGUGAGGAAUAUUGCACAAUGGGGGGAACCCUGAUGCAGCAACGCCGCGUGGAGGAUGACGCAUUUCGGUGUGUAAACUCCUUUUAUAUGUCAAGAAAACGACGGUAGCAUAUGAAUAAGCACCCGCUAACUCCGUGCCAGCAGCCGCGGUAAUACGGAGGGUGCAAGCGUUAACCGGAAUCACUGGGCGUAAAGGACGCGUAGGCGGGUUGGAAAGUCAGGUGUGAAAUCCUACAGCUUAACUGUAGAACUGCACUUGAAACUUCUAAUCUAGAGUAUGGGAGGGGGAGAUGGAAUUAGUGGUGUAGGGGUAAAAUCCGUAGAUAUCACUAGGAAUACCUAAAGCGAAGGCGAUCUCCUGGAACAUUACUGACGCUAAGGCGUGAAAGCGUGGGGAGCAAACAGGAUUAGAUACCCCCGUAGUC